UACGGAGGGGACUAGCGUUGUUCGGAUUUACUGGGCGUAAAGGGCGCGUAGGCGGUUUGUUAAGUUAGAAGUGAAAGCCUGGGGCUUAACCCCAGAACUGCUUCUAAAACUGGCAGACUAGAGUGUGGGAGAGGAUAAUGGAAUUCCUAGUGUAGAGGUGAAAUUCUUAGAUAUUAGGAGGAACACCGGUGGCGAAAGCGAUUAUCUGGAACACAACUGACGCUGAGGCGCGAAAGCGUGGGGAGCAAACAGG
Molecule: ribosomal RNA, 253 nt
Filed under: uncultured bacterium
Lineage: Bacteria
Description: partial 16S ribosomal RNA
Rfam family: Bacterial small subunit ribosomal RNA
Source: RNAcentral